UGCCAACCUGAAAUUAAAGCUGAAAAUGCUUAAUUUUGACCAACUGUGAGCAUGUGACUGUACUUUUUCAUUUUGUUAUGCUGUUUUGUUGAGGUCGUGUUCCUAAGGCCUGUAGUUACAGUUGGUGCUAUUAGCAAUAAACAUUUCACACCCAUCAUGAUGAUGUCUGUUAACUUGUGAAUGUAACUGUCUUGAAAAAAAAAGGAAUCUUGCAGUGAAGAUCAUUCCCGGGCAGUGGUCAGAAAAAAAGAGCUUUGACUUGAAGGGUUUUCCAAGCCAAGACUAUGGAGAUGACUGUGGGAUCUUCAUGCUGAUGUCUGCUCUGUACGUGGCACUGGAUGCACCAUUUGACUAUACUAUACUCUGGCAAGCUAUUUGCACACUGGAGAGAGGAAGCCAAAGCUGUGCUUGAAGGACAACACGUGCCCAUUUUCAGACUGAAAAAGCGCAAGUUCCAGGAAGUCAGUCAGGAGCCAGCAGUUGUUGAAGAUCUGCGUCCUGCUGUGCAGUGGGUUGUCCAAAAUAAGGCACUUUUCCGUGGACACGUAACAAUGCCAAAAUAUCUGUCCUUAAAUCAAGGGGACCAGCAGAGGGUCUUAAGAGACAUGUCAGAGGAAGAAGACACUGGAGCAAGGCACUUGUUCCUCUUUGUUUUUCAGUUUGCAGAAGACAUGGAGCUCUUUUUGAAAGCAUGUGCUGAUGAGC
Molecule: long non-coding RNA, 705 nt
Organism: Oreochromis aureus
Lineage: Eukaryota; Metazoa; Chordata; Actinopteri; Cichliformes; Cichlidae
Source: Ensembl